RNAcentral lists this ribosomal RNA (460 nucleotides) under uncultured bacterium. RNAcentral describes it as "partial 16S ribosomal RNA". It matches the Rfam family "Bacterial small subunit ribosomal RNA", at positions 338 to 795 of the family's 1533-position model. The record is from RNAcentral.
CCUACGGGUGGCAGCAGUGAGGAAUAUUGGUCAAUGGGCGCGAGCCUGAACCAGCCAAGUAGCGUGAAGGAUGACUGCCCUACGGGUUGUAAACUUCUUUUAUAAAGGAAUAAAGUGAGGCACGUGUGCCUUUUUGUAUGUACUUUAUGAAUAAGGAUCGGCUAACUCCGUGCCAGCAGCCGCGGUAAUACGGAGGAUCCGAUCGUUCGCCGGAUUUAGUGGGUUUAAAGGGAGCGGAGAUGGGUUGGUAAGUCAGUUGUGAAAGUUUGCGGCUCAACCGUAAAAUUGCAAUUGAUACUGGGAGUCUUGAGGACAGGUGAGGUAGGCGGAAUUCGUGGUGUAGCGGUGAAAUGCUUAGAUAGCACGAAGAACUACGAUUGCGAAGGCAGCUUACUAAACUGCCACUGACAUUGAUGCUCGAAAGUGUGGGUAGCAAACAGGAUUAGAUACCCGAGUAGUC